UGAGGAAUAUUGGUCAAUGGGCGGAAGCCUGAACCAGCCAAGUCGCGUGAGGGAAGACGGUCCUAUGGAUUGUAAACCCCUUUUGCAGGGGAGCAAGCCCUGUUACGAGUAACAGGUUGGAGAGUACCCUGAGAAAAAGCAUCGGCUAACUCCGUGCCAGCAGCCGCGGUAAUACGGAGGAUGCGAGCGUUAUCCGGAUUUAUUGGGUUUAAAGGGUGCGUAGGCGGGCUGGUAAGUCAGCGGUAAAAAAUGCGGUGCUCAACGCCGUAGUGCCGUUGAAACUGCCGGUCUUGAGUGAGCGAGAAGUAUGCGGAAUGCGUGGUGUAGCGGUGAAAUGCAUAGAUAUCACGCAGAACUCCGAUUGCGAAGGCAGCAUACCGGCGCUCAACUGACGCUGAGGCACGAAAGCGUGGGGAUCGAACAGGAUUAGAUACC
Molecule: ribosomal RNA, 435 nt
Filed under: uncultured bacterium
Lineage: Bacteria
Description: bacterial SSU rRNA
Rfam family: Bacterial small subunit ribosomal RNA
Source: RNAcentral